AGUGAACGCUGGCGGUAGGCCUAACACAUGCAAGUCGAACGGCAGCACAGUAAGAGCUUGCUCUUACGGGUGGCGAGUGGCGGACGGGUGAGGAAUACAUCGGAAUCUACUUUUUCGUGGGGGAUAACGUAGGGAAACUUACGCUAAUACCGCAUACGACCUACGGGUGAAAGCAGGGGAUCUUCGGACCUUGCGCGAUUGAAUGAGCCGAUGUCGGAUUAGCUAGUUGGCGGGGUAAAGGCCCACCAAGGCGACGAUCCGUAGCUGGUCUGAGAGGAUGAUCAGCCAAACUGGAACUGAGAAACGGUCCAGAAUCCUACGGGAGGCAGCAGUGGGGAAUAUUGGACAAUGGGCGCAAGCCUGAUCCAGCCAUACCGCGUGGGUGAAGAAGGCCUUCGGGUUGUAAAGCCCUUUUGUUGGGAAAGAAAAGCAGCAGGUUAAUACCCCGCUGUUCUGACGGUACCCAAAGAAUAAGCACCGGCUAACUUCGUG
RNAcentral lists this ribosomal RNA (492 nucleotides) under uncultured bacterium. RNAcentral describes it as "partial 16S ribosomal RNA". It matches the Rfam family "Bacterial small subunit ribosomal RNA", at positions 29 to 507 of the family's 1533-position model. The record is from RNAcentral.